GGGGGGUGGCACGGUGCAGCCCAAUGCGUAACUCUCUGUUGAACCAGACGCUUGAGAAAGACACGCACUCCAGAAACACAGAGCAGCGAGGCACAUCGUUGUCUUUCUUUUCUUUUUCUCUUUCUUUCACUCUUACUUUCCCCUCUCUCUCUCUCUCUCUCUCUCUCUCUCUUUCUCUGGUUUUGCACUUCAAACUGUGACAUGGAGACCCUCCACACAGCCAUCAUGGUUACUGGGGUGCCCAAGAAAGAACACUGUACCACCGAGACCAACUACGUAGAUCUUGGGAGCACCAACACAGUGAAAGUCUCAUUCGCCAGUGAAGGAAACCAGCGAGCUGUAUUCAAGCAUAAAGGGAACUAUGUGGAAAAUGAAGAAGGUUGUACAGAUCACAGGAAGGCUGGAAAGGAUGUUUCCUAUGACAUCUUAGAUAAGGAUUUAAAAAUUGAAAGUUUCCUUGAGAAGGAAGAGACAGCUGUAAUGAGCCAUGAACCAGAGGAAAUGGAUUACACAGACAUGUAUCUGAACAGCAGGUGUGAGUCUGAAUCAGAAUCAGAAGACGGAGAUCCUGACGAACGAGAACACGACAUGCCGGUGGCCGAGGAGACAGAAUCACACUACAUCACGACACAUGAGAUUCAGCUCACUGAACUGGACCACGACAUGGACCACGAGCUCGGCCGUGCUGCCAGCUCCUGCUGGGAUUACGAAGACGACAACCUUGUGUACUCAUUUGUGGACUAUGCGUCUUUCAAGAGCGGUGACCAGCAAAGCGGAGAGAGGGGUCAGCGUAGAGCAGCGAGCAGUCGUCCACCCAAACUGGCUGCCACCAAAGCUCUGAUCAGCACCGAGAGCGAAUGUGCAAGCUCAGACGAUGGCGUGCGGAACAUUCGCGUCUCUAUAAAAGCCUCGUCCAAGUCAGUAAGUGAGUCUGUGCAGCCGUCUCUGGAUGAGAAUGACCAUCUGCGCUGUUAUCAUGAAACACAUGCUAAGAUAGAGGUUCCUUAUGAAAGUCACAAGCACUGUUUCAUUCCUGCACCUGGACGCCAGCACCUAGCCAGCAAACUGAUGAAAGGCAAAGACGUCACAGAGUACUCCAGUGGUGCAUCCAGCUCCGUAAGUGAGCUGGACGAUGCCGAUAAAGAGGUCCGCACACUAACAGCCAAAUCUUUCCGCAGCCUUGCAUGUCCCUACUUCGACACCAUCGAUCUCAGACCCUCGAGCGAGUCGUCAGUUUCAGAGCACAGCCUGAGCAUGAACAAAUGGUCCUCUUUCAUCGAUUUCAACUACAGGAAUUAUGUGAUGCAGGGUGGCAUCAUAGGCGAGCGCAAAAAUUCCACAUGUUCUGUGGAAAUGAGGAAGAGCACAGAAAGUGGAACCAUGACUGAAAGUAGAAGCCAUGAGACGAACACUCAGUCAUCAAAAUAUAAAGCAAGCUGUGAUACAGAGAGAAGAGCGAAAUGCACACAGAACAGAUCAAACAGCUGCGAGCCAUCAACAAGUCACACCGGCGAUCAGACCGACGUCUCUGUGGACGGAGUGCACAAGAAAGCCGUGUUCGCCUCCAGCCUCCUGCAAAACGUUAUCUCUAAGAAGAUGCAAUUCGAGCAAGAACGCAAACUGGAGUGUGGUGAAGUGAGUUCAGCACAAAGAGACAGCACAAGCUGCCAGGUUUUACAAAGACAAGCUUCAGAGUCAGGAUCUCUACAAUCCGUUGUCUCUGUGGAAGAAGUUGUGGAAAGUUCAAAUGCUACUUUCGUCAAAGGAGAGGAAGACGAGGAGGAGGAGCCAUGCAAAACAUCACGUAUACCAUCAAUAGAGAACAUGGAUGAGCCACCAAAGGCCUCACUGCUGGAGCAGAACAAAGUAUGUGCAGAGAAAAGUGACACUAUAUUCACCAAAGGUUACAUUGAAAGAGAUGUCACGAAUACAACCGCUUCAGUAGAGGCAGAAAAAGAAAACAAGGCAGCGUGCGCUGAAAUGACAAAUAGUAAAACAACAAAAAUGUCACACUUGUAUGUUCCUGGCUCGCGUUUUCAUUCAAAAGAAAGGGAAGCAGUGGAACCGUACACACCAAUGAUACAAACAACUGAUCUCAUCCAAUCAAACACGGUGGAUGCUUCAAACGGCAGCAAAGCACAGGAGAUCACAAUCCGCCUGCACAGCAUCAAGGAAAACAAAAACAACCUUCAGCAUCCCUUUAACAUUGCCAGCCUCCUGACACCAAACCUCACCAAGCACAGCAGCGACACCAAGAGUGAAAAAAUCCCUCACUUUACGGUGAGAGACAUUCGGGACAGUAGGUGCAAACUCCAAACGCCCAUCCAUCAGGUGAGAGACGUGCGAAAACUGGUCAAGAGUUCAUACCGGUUCGUGUCUAUGGAAAGCGGUGAGAAUAAAACCACAUCACAAGAAGAAAGCGAUGGCGUGAAAAAAGAUCCGGAUAAAAACGACAAGAAAGAAAAGACCCCAAUGGUGAUCAAAUGCCAUUCAGUGAACACAAAUUCAAACAGACAGAACGACCCGGAAAGCGAGAGGUCACCGAUGCAGACCAUCUCCGUGCAGCAGGAGCUUCAGGUAAAGUCAUCCAGAUUUAAAGAAAGCAGUGAUAAAAGGGUUGAGUGCAAAAUGCUAAACCAGGUGGCACUCGAGAAAAUAAAAGCAGCUGUAAAGACCAUGGAACAGCUGUAUGUUUUUGACCGUAACGAGUGGCGGCGUAAGACGGAGGCACCGCGGCCAGUGACAGACAGCCAUGUCCUCUCACUGAUCACUAGGGAGGAACAAGGAGUUGAUAGCGAGAGGUUCGUGAGAGCAGAACCCCCAAAAAACUCAACUCGUGCUGCAGGCACAAACUUCACCAGAACAAUCACUCAUCAUCUGCAACAGGAUGCUCAGUGUUCCAAUGCCUGUAGCAACAUCUCCAGAUCCACCAAAAGCCCCUUUUCCCUCAAAUUCUGCCCUUCAAAAUGCACAAUGGAGAAACGAGUUGAGGAUGAAGCCGGAGUCACAGUCACCAGCCCUGUGAUGGAUUCGGUACUUAAACAUCCACCCGCACAUGUAUCAGAUCCCGAAAAUUAUCUAACCAUCCCAAUUAAGCCACGCCCCUUAGACACAACACCCCAUUGCUCCGAACAAAUCCUCGACCCCACCGCACAGCCUCAGCUUCAGCCCUGCCCGCCUCUUCAGCGCUCACCGGUCGUGACAGAGUCGUGGUCUCCUGGGAGCCCAAUGCUGACCUUCUGUCAGCCUGCACAGAUCCUGUGUGUCACACCUCCUACAGACCCUCUCAUAUCCAACAUGCAGCGCAAGCUACUACUGGAUCCCAUAACAGGGCAGUGCUACCUGGUGGACACGCCCAUCUCCCUGCAGCCCGUCACUCAGAGACUCUACUGCCCUGAGAGUGCUCAGUACCUGGAUGUACCAGUGGCCCUGAGCCCAGCGGCAUAUCUCAUUUCUCCACCCUCCUUUGUACAGCAACAUUCAACCCCUGUUUCCUCACAGGGUGAGAGUGCAAGCACUAGAACAAGUAUGGAAGUGGGCGGGGCUAAACCAGUCAUCAGUAUUACAUCACAACAAGGACCACGCAUCGUGGCCCCGCCUUCUUUUGACGGCACAACUAUGAGCUUCGUAGUGGAGCACAGAUGAGCACAGAUGUCUGUAAGUGUGUGUGUGCGUGUGUGUGUUGAGGAGGGUACCCUGGCUCUCACAUCGGAAUGAACUUUAAGGGUCCCACAGAAACUUUGUCACUUCCUGUGCCAUUUCAGCUUCCUGUCAGCACUGCUGUUUGAAACCGAGCCCUAUUUUUCCCCCAGAUUGAGUCUGAAAGAAGGAAGAGUUCAUACACCAUUCAUAGGAGCAUAAUAAUGCAUGGAAGGCACUCACAAGACUCCUUAGACUUAAGAUUUUAUUUGAAGUACAUCACCAGGCUCCAUGGAGAGUUUAGAGACUUUCCUUUAUGUAUUUGUACAUAUUCUGUCUCUCAAACUCAGAGCCAUUUGUUCCUACUUUAAAUGUUCUGUUGAAACUGUUGAAUAUUGUGAGAGGCGUCUGAUGCAUUAUUAAACUCUUACGCAGGGUUUAUGGACAUCCAUAGAUGAGACUGUGUGUAAUGUAUGUGUGUCAUUUACUAAAGAUUCAUUGUGAUAUACAGUAUUAAACAUUACAUUAUACAUUUUCUGAAUAAAUCCUAAGUGUUAGAGUCACAGUGAUUUGCUCUCUGUAAACAAGCACUAAUUGCUAAUAAGCUAAUAAGCAUUUCUGCUAAAAUGGUACUCAGAAUUUUCAUCAUUUCUCUUUUUGUAUUUUUUGUCUUUGUGUUUGCUGUUUUUCGAACAUAUGUUUAUCACAUGAACCAUUUUUUUCUGGACUGUUUUACUACUAAGAAAAACAACAACAAAAUAAACCCACAGGUUCAACAAUGAAAAUAAGGUCAAUGUUAGCAUGAACGCUUUAGCUCAAUGCUAACUGGCCUUGAUAUAUUAGCAGCAAUGUUACACUUGGUGAAGUAAAUAUGGGGAAAUUUUUAUAUCUAAACAUUUACAUUACACUUUAAAGAUUGAGUCGUGUUAGCAGGCUAAAUUUGUUUUACAGAUGUUUGCUUUGCACAUCAAACAGAUUGACAUUACAAAGGAAAAAAAACAUUAAAAAAAGAGAUGCA
This is an RNA transcript of Tachysurus fulvidraco (yellow catfish), 4657 nucleotides long. RefSeq lists it as uncharacterized. The record is from RefSeq and is a predicted model, not a curated record. The transcript has 3 exons. NCBI's taxonomy places the organism in Eukaryota, Metazoa, Chordata, Actinopteri, Siluriformes, Bagridae.